CAGUCGAACGGGAUCCAUCGGGCUUUGCUUGGUGGUGAGAGUGGCGAACGGGUGAGUAAUGCGUGACCGACCUGCCCCAUGCUCCGGAAUAGCUCCUGGAAACGGGUGGUAAUGCCGGAUGUUCCACAUGAUCGCAUGUGAUUGUGGGAAAGAUUCUAUCGGCGUGGGAUGGGGUCGCGUCCUAUCAGCUUGUUGGUGAGGUAACGGCUCACCAAGGCUUCGACGGGUAGCCGGCCUGAGAGGGCGACCGGCCACAUUGGGACUGAGAUACGGCCCAGACUCCUACGGGAGGCAGCAGUGGGGAAUAUUGCACAAUGGGCGCAAGCCUGAUGCAGCGACGCCGCGUGAGGGAUGGAGGCCUUCGGGUUGUAAACCUCUUUUGUUUGGGAGCAAGCCUUCGGGUGAGUGUACCUUUCGAAUAAGCGCCGGCUAACUACGUGCCAGCAGCCGCGGUAAUACGUAGGGCGCAAGCGUUAUCCGGAUUUAUUGGGCGUAAAGGGCUCGUAGGCGGCUCGUCGCGUCCGGUGUGAAAGUCCAUCGCUUAACGGUGGAUCUGCGCCGGGUACGGGCGGGCUGGAGUGCGGUAGGGGAGACUGGAAUUCCCGGUGUAACGGUGGAAUGUGUAGAUAUCGGGAAGAACACCGAUGGCGAAGGCAGGUCUCUGGGCCGUCACUGACGCUGAGGAGCGAAAGCGUGGGGAGCGAACAGGAUUAGAUACCCUGGUAGUCCACGCCGUAAACGGUGGACGCUGGAUGUGGGGCACGUUCCACGUGUUCCGUGUCGGAGCUAACGCGUUAAGCGUCCCGCCUGGGGAGUACGGCCGCAAGGCUAAAACUCAAAGAAAUUGACGGGGGCCCGCACAAGCGGCGGAGCAUGCGGAUUAAUUCGAUGCAACGCGAAGAACCUUACCUGGGCUUGACAUGUUCCCGACGACGCCAGAGAUGGCGUUUCCCUUCGGGGCGGGUUCACAGGUGGUGCAUGGUCCGUCGUCAGCUCGUGUCGUGAGAUGUUGGGUUAAGUCCCGCAACGAGCGCAACCCUCGCCCCGUGUUGCCAGCACGUUAUGGUGGGAACUCACGGGGGACCGCCGGGGUUAACUCGGAGGAAGGUGGGGAUGACGUCAGAUCAUCAUGCCCCUUACGUCCAGGGCUUCACGCAUGCUACAAUGGCCGGUACAGCGGGAUGCGACAUGGCGACAUGGAGCGGAUCCCUGAAAACCGGUCUCAGUUCGGAUCGGAGCCUGCAACCCGGCUCCGUGAAGGCGGAGUCGCUAGUAAUCGCGGAUCAGCAACGCCGCGGUGAAUGCGUUCCCGGGCCUUGUACACACCGCCCGUCAAGUCAUGAAAGUGGGCAGCACCCGAAGCCGGUGGCCUAACCCCUUGUGGGAUGGAGCCGUCUAAGGUGAGGCUCGUG
RNAcentral lists this ribosomal RNA (1412 nucleotides) under Bifidobacterium bifidum. RNAcentral describes it as "bacterial SSU rRNA". It matches the Rfam family "Bacterial small subunit ribosomal RNA". Lineage: Bacteria; Bacillati; Actinomycetota; Actinomycetes; Bifidobacteriales; Bifidobacteriaceae. RNAcentral also lists the same sequence under 2 other names. The record is from RNAcentral.